AUGGGAUGCCCUGUCCGGUGUAAGCUGAACGUAGAUGGAACACAGUAGGUGGUCACUGAAUAUUUUGACGAGCACAACCACAAUCUCAUAAAGAAGUUCGACCUGGUCAAAUUUCUGACCGCCCAUAGAGGAUUCACCCCAGUCGAAAGGCAAUUCGUAAAGCUGCUACAUGAUUGUAACAUCGGUCCAUCAAGAAUGGUCCAGAUACUAUCACUCAUCCACAGCAAAAAGGGGAAACUGAGUAGCAUGCCGUACAUACCGGCUGACGUCACAAACCUACAGGCCAAGUACCAUAGAGAGAGCAGGCUGGCUGACAUAGAGGCUACAAUUGCCUACUUCGAUGAGAAAGCAAAAGAAGAUCCAGAUUUCUUCUACAGGAUAAGGUUGGACGAUGAGGACCGUGUCAGGAACAUGUAUUGGGUGGAUGGUGCUGCAAGGAAAGCCUACAAACAUUUCUGAGAUUGCAUUUCAUUCGACGCGACGUACCUCACCAAUAUGUACAAGAUGCCAUGCGCUCCGUUCAUAGGAAUAAAUAACCACAAUCAGUCGUUGCUGUUCGGAUGCGGGCUCGUUCGGAACGAAGACACGGAUGGUUACAUCUGGUUGUUCAAGACCUUCUUGGAGUGUAUGGAUGGACUUGCGCCGAUGAACAUAAUAACAGACCAGGAUUUCAGCAUGCGUGCAGGCAUAGAGGAGGUCUUUCCGUUGGCAGUGCACAGGCACUGCAGGUGGCACAUUAUAAAGAAGGCUGAGGAGACGCUAGAGUUUGAAAGGAGCUGGAUGGCCAUGGUUGAAACACAUGAAGUCCAAGACAACGAGACGCUUGCUAGCCUGUGGGAGAAGCGAAUGUACUGGGUGCCCGCCUACUUCAUGCAGUGCUUCUUCCCCUUUCUGCAGACUACACAGCGCAGCGAGGGGUUCAAUGCUGUUUUGAAGCGAUACGUGAGUCCUGGCAACUCAUUGCUACAGUUUGCCAAGCAAUAUACAGCUUUGCAAUAAAAAAUACUGGGAUCUGAGCUAUAGCAAGAAGCGAACACCGCACUGAAGCAGCCAAAAUUGCUGACGUAUUUACAGAUGGUGGAUGAACAUACGUUCAAGGGGAUGUCGGAUUCAGAACCUGAAGACCCAGACAAAGGGAGGAACUACUUCGUGAAAACCUCGAUCGAGCAAGGCGAAUACUACUGCCAAUGCUGCAAGUUCGAACGGGACGGCAUUGUGUGUUGUCACAUACUAAAGGUAAUGGACAUGAACGCUGUGACACGGAUGCCCCGCCAUUUCAUAAGGCGGCGAUGGACUUGGGACGCUGACGACGCGUUGGUGCCGCAGACAACACACGCGGUUCUGGCUGUGCAUGACGAGAGACCUGAGUCAACCAUGGAAACCAUGAGGCACGUUGUGCUCACAAAGAACUAUGCUGAGCUAAUUGAUGAAGCGUGCAAGAGUGAUGAGACAGUGAGAGUCGCAGAAAAACACAGGAAGGCACUGAAAAGAGAGCUUGAGGAGAUCAAGAAGAGGAAAGCUGAGGAAGCCUUACACCGGUUCCCCCGCACAUCAAGUGUGCCUCCAUCGACGGGGCCGUCGUCUGAAAACUCGGAGAUAGGAUCUGGAACAGCAAGCACACAAACCCAGGUCAGGAAUCCACCCCGUUCAAUCACAAAGGGUCGCCCCAGAGAGAUAAGGUACAAGUCAGGAUUGGAGAUUCAAGCAAAACACAAGAAAACGAAGAAAGGCGCGGGCAAUCCAUGA
RNAcentral lists this ribosomal RNA (1746 nucleotides) under Triticum aestivum (bread wheat). RNAcentral describes it as "partial small subunit ribosomal RNA". The record is from RNAcentral. Lineage: Eukaryota; Viridiplantae; Streptophyta; Magnoliopsida; Poales; Poaceae.